RNAcentral lists this unclassified non-coding RNA (300 nucleotides) under plant metagenome. Its description in RNAcentral is "partial contains 5.8S ribosomal RNA, internal transcribed spacer 2, and large subunit ribosomal RNA". The stretch from base 1 to 105 matches the Rfam family "5.8S ribosomal RNA", at positions 50 to 154 of the family's 154-position model. The record is from RNAcentral.
GAAAUGCGAUAAGUAGUGUGAAUUGCAGAAUUCAGUGAAUCAUCGAAUCUUUGAACGCACAUUGCGCCCCUUGGUAUUCCAUGGGGCAUGCCUGUUCGAGCGUCAUUUGUACCCUCAAGCUUUGCUUGGUGUUGGGCGUCUUGUCGGAAUAUCCGACUCGCCUUAAAUACAUUGGCAGCCGGCACUUUGGCCUAGGAGCGCAGCACAUUUUGCGAUCGUAAGCCGUUGUGACAGCAUCCAUAAGAAUUAUUUUACCACGUUUGACCUCGGAUCAGGUAGGGAUACCCGCUGAACUUAAGC